UUCAAGAAUCAAGACUUGGUUUUAUUCACUGCAUUAAUCCAAGUAAAACAUUUGGACACUUGACUUAAAACAGAUGACCACUACAUAUUGUGUUUUCUUAAUUUCAUGUUAACCAGACACUUGGUCCAAAGGGAUGUCAUCAUUAACAGAAACGAGAGUUUCUGAUCUCACAUAUCCCCUCAGAGCUCCAGUGGGAUGAUCACAGGAAUUUCCAACAGGAUAUGCAAGAUUAUACUGGUAUUAUUACAGUCUGUUCACUAGGGUGAUAUGAGCAGGAUAAUUUAAUCGAUGUUCUGUAUUCAAUUUAAAGUACAACUCCCUAUCUCUCACUCUAUUUCUCUCUAUCUUUAUCUCUCCAUCUCUCUUUCUAUCUCUCUCUCUCUCUCUCUCCAGUGCAAUCCCUCUUCACCAGUCGUGAAUAGUUAUCUUCAUUCUGACAACUCAGCUUGAAUUAAGCUCACCCAUUCUCAUCAGCAUGCACCCUCUUGACAAGGACAUUAAGUGCUAUAUCCCUUGUAUGACAGGUCUUGAGGAUUGAUUUUUUAUGCCCUAUGAAGGCAGUAUCUCUUUCAUAUCAGACAGGAGAUGAUUCCAAAGUUCAAUUUUCAGUAACAAGAGAUACUGAGAGAAGAUCAUGUCUCAGACUGACAGAAUCAUUCCAGUGCUGUCAAGAAACUUAUGGGAAUGAAAUUGAAAUUCUCCCAAACACAAAACUACUCAAAAACUCAAGACAUAGACAUAGACAUUGGACCCAAAAAUAUAAGAAUUUGAGAACUGUGACAUCAUCCAGACUAUUUCUAUCAUCAUUCAACAAGAUAUACAAUUUUCUAAACAUCUCCAUAAAGAUAUUUGCUACUAAGGACCUGACCCUCUAUACUAACUGUAAAAUCAUUGGAAAAUAAAACACCCAUAUCACUGCAUCACAGCAUCAGGGCACCAAUUACCUCCAACACUUUACAACUUGUCAUCCUGUCACCAUACAUUUUUCAAACCCUCCUUUCCCCAAUGCAAAAUGUAUAGCAUAUGAUGUGCUUCAUUGACCAACCCCUGUAAAUGUUUAUGCCAUGUCAUGUGAAUGGCACACUCAUAUAUUUUUAAAUGAGCUAGUUUGCAAACGAGAAUCAUUAAGGAGAUAUCUGUAUUAUGCAUUCAGGGAAGCAAUGCCGAAAAUAUAUAGCCAGACAUAUGUAUGAUGGGAAAGAUUGAUGAUAAGACUUGAUAAUGGAAGAGCCAUACAUAUUUAAAGAUAAAGCCAAACAAAUUCUAUGUUCAUGUUGCAUGGCUUUGAACAGGUUGUAUAGACAUUAUUUUAUAAGAUAGACUUUCUUUUAUAAGAGUUUGCGAAAUAUAUAUCUUUACCAGAGGCUUUCGUUUUUCUUGAUAUAGACAGACACAGGACAUGCCAAGCCAAUGAUAAUUUAAUAUUUCUCUAUCAGAACAUUUGCAAGGCUUUGCAUCUAUAAAUUACUACAACCAAAUGAGCCAAGGCAUCGCUGCCCUGAAACCCUUUCUCCCACAAGCCACUGCGGCCACCUGCAGAUGCUCUCACACAAUCAGUUCGAACACAGCAAAGAUAAAUCAACUGCCAAAGAUCCAUUGAUGUCAGGAAAAUAAAUUGCCCUUGCCUGCGUUUUCAGGGAAAACUAAUUUUCCUCACCCCGGUAAUAAAGUACACGGUAGUUUGGCCUCGCUGGAAGCUUGCCCAUCAGACCCAGAGCUGUGUACCUCAUUUGUCUUGACAAAUGGAUAUAUUCAAUAACAGGCCGCGCUCUUUAACCUGGAGAUAGUGUGCAGACUGCUGCUAUGUGCUCUCUAUGCUAAUAAAAGUACCAAUGUCUUGUUUGAUUGCUUCCUUCCAUCGUCAAUUAUUUGCCCCUCUCCUUUCCUCUCACCUGGAGUGAAGGUUUGACUGAAUGCAUGGAUGACUUGCCAAUUACUCCACAUUAAUCACAGAGAACCCAUCGAACCAAUGGGGAUAUGGAGGCCAUUCCGAAUGUCUCCUGGAGUAACUUGAUUGGCUCCCCACAGUAAUUCAAUCACCAUGCUGCCUUGCAGCAGGAAUUCUAUAAGAAUUUGAAGAAUCCUAAUAAACACCAAAUUAAGGAAUAGGCGGUGGGCAGUAGCAAGCUGUCUGCUUUAGCUUUCAAGAUGAUCUAUCUCUGUUGAGGGAGGAACUGGUUUUUACAUAUUGUGUAUAUUUAUUUAUUCUGAACACAGUUCCGUUUGUUGCCAAUGCCAAUUCUUGCAAAUGUUUUCAAAAUACUUACUUUUAUGGUCGCUAGCUGGACAGACAAAUGCUGCCAGGUACUAAACUGUAAACAAAUCAAAACUCAUUACUAUCCAUGCUACCAUCUCAGCUGAUCACGUCUGCCAAUCAUGCUAUCCAGUACCUAAGGUAGUAGACAGCUGGUAAACAGCUGGUGACUACAAAUAUCUAUAGGACAAGUAGUGUAAAGCUAAUUCAGUCAUCAAGGCAGGACAGGACCAACUAAUUUCCUUCUAACAAAUAAGAAAUGCCCAAUUAUCUUUGCCAAUAGUUGGAGUAGGAUGAUUGCAGAGCACCCUGCCUCAGACUGCCAGGAUGUUCAUUUUCUAGCUCACAAACUACAUUCCUUUAUUUUAUUCAUUUUUGUCUCUUAAUUUUGUCUCACAUGAUCUAAUCAGCUAUGCUGUGUCCUGCUCCCAGAGAUCAACCAAGUGCUAUUCACCGAGCAUGGGCUGAUUCCCUCACCUGUGAGGAGAACCAUGCUAUUGCAGUGUGAACUAACUAAUUACAAAUAAUUUAUAGACUGCAAACUGACUGCAAGAAAGGGAAAGGGGGAUACCUAGUCAGUUGUACAACUGAAUGCCUUCAACUGAAAUGUGUCUUCCUCUGAAUCAGAGAGGUGCGGGGGGCUGCCUAAGCACAAAUAGAUAUAAUAGAUAUAUUAUUUGACAAAAACAUAAUCAUUUCAAACCUUGCUUAUAUUUGCAUACGAUCAUGUGUGCCCCAACAAUUAUGCUUGGGAAUAGAUUUCCAAAAUUAUAAUCACUUGGAGCUGACUUACUGGGAGGGUUUUACAGUUUUUAUGUCCAACAAUUAAAUAAAACAAAUGUAUAUAUUUAUUUUUUACCUGGGAGGCCAAAUAAAACCACGCAGGCCGCCUAUUGGCAUUUUAGAGUUGAAGAACAUCAACUACAGAUACACGUGCUUGUUUGAGCAUAUCUUUUUUUUUUACCCCUUUUUCUCCCCAAUUUCAUGGUAUACAAUUGUUUAGUAGCUACUAUCUUGUCUCAUCGCUAUAACUCCCGUACGUGCUCGGGAGAGACUUAGGUUGAAAGUCAUGCAUCCUCCGAUACACAACCCAACCAAGCCGCACUGCUUCUUAACACAGCGCCAUCCAAAUCGGAAGCCAGCCUCCUCAGUGUCGGAGGAAACAUCGUGCACCUGGCAACCUUGGUUAGCGCGCACUGCGCCCGGCCCGCGAAUAAAGCAUUAUACAGUUGAAGUUGACAUACACCUUAUUAACCAAAUAGAUUUAAACUCCGUUUUUCACAAUUCCUGACAUUUAAUCCUAGAAAAAAAUCCCUGUUUUAGGUCUGUUCAGAUCACCACAUUAU
Oncorhynchus tshawytscha (Chinook salmon) is the source of this 3600-nucleotide long non-coding RNA. Lineage: Eukaryota; Metazoa; Chordata; Actinopteri; Salmoniformes; Salmonidae. The record is from Ensembl.